AGAGUUUGAUCAUGGCUCAGGAUGAACGCUAGCGGCAGGCCUAAUACAUGCAAGUCGAACGGUAAGUCCCGCCUCGGCGGGAACACGAGUGGCGCACGGGUGCGUAACGCGUAUGCAACCUACCUUUAACUGGGGAAUAGCCCCGAGAAAUCGGGAUUAAUACCCCAUAAUAAUAAAAUAUGACAUCAUUUUUUAUUUAAAGUUCCGGCGGUUAAAGAUGGGCAUGCGUGACAUUAGUUAGUUGGUGAGGUAACGGCUCACCAAGGCAACGAUGUCUAGGGGUUCUGAGAGGAUUAACCCCCACACUGGUACUGAGACACGGACCAGACUCCUACGGGAGGCAGC
Molecule: ribosomal RNA, 345 nt
Filed under: uncultured bacterium
Lineage: Bacteria
Description: bacterial SSU rRNA
Rfam family: Bacterial small subunit ribosomal RNA
Source: RNAcentral